AACUGGCUUGUGGCAGCCAA
Molecule: non-coding RNA, 20 nt
Filed under: Arabidopsis thaliana (thale cress)
Lineage: Eukaryota; Viridiplantae; Streptophyta; Magnoliopsida; Brassicales; Brassicaceae
Also listed under: 1 other name
Source: RNAcentral